Molecule: transfer RNA, 76 nt
Filed under: Mangrovactinospora gilvigrisea
Lineage: Bacteria; Bacillati; Actinomycetota; Actinomycetes; Kitasatosporales; Streptomycetaceae
Description: Streptomyces gilvigriseus tRNA-Thr
Rfam family: tRNA
About the family: Transfer RNA (tRNA) molecules are approximately 80 nucleotides in length. Their secondary structure includes four short double-helical elements and three loops (D, anti-codon, and T loops).
Source: RNAcentral
GCCGCCUUAGCUCAGCUGGUAGAGCAACGCUCUUGUAAAGCGUAGGUCGUCGGUUCGAACCCGACAGGCGGCUCCC